GGAUGAACGCUGGCGGCGUGCCUAAUCCCUGCAAGUCGAGCGAACAGACGAGGAGCUUGCUCCUUUGACGUUAGCGGCGGACGGGUGAGUAACACGUGGGUAACCUACCUAUAAGACUGGGAUAACUUCGGGAAACCGGAGCUAAUACCGGAUAAUAUUUCGAACCGCAUGGUUCGAUAGUGAAAGAUGGCUCUGCUAUCACUUAUAGAUGGACCUGCGCCGUAUUAGCUAGUUGGUAAGGUAACGGCUUACCAAGGCAACGAUACGUAGCCGACCUGAGAGGGUGAUCGGCCACACUGGAACUGAGACACGGUCCAGACUCCUACGGGAGGCAGCAGUAGGGAAUCUGCCGCAAUGGGCGAAAGCCUGACGGAGCAACGCCGCGUGAGUGAUGAAGGUCUUCGGAUCGUAAAACUCUGUUAUUAGGGAAGAACAAACGUGUAAGUAACUGUGCACGUCUUGACGGUACCUAAUCAGAAAGCCACGGCUAACUACGU
RNAcentral lists this ribosomal RNA (497 nucleotides) under uncultured bacterium. RNAcentral describes it as "partial 16S ribosomal RNA". It matches the Rfam family "Bacterial small subunit ribosomal RNA", at positions 27 to 506 of the family's 1533-position model. The record is from RNAcentral.